GCGGGUGUCACGUAAGGGACGCGGUAGAGGAGCGUUCUGUAAGCCUGUGAAGGUGAGUUGAGAAGCUUGCUGGAGGUAUCAGAAGUGCGAAUGCUGACAUGAGUAACGACAAUGGGUGUGAAAAACACCCACGCCGAAAGACCAAGGGUUCCUGCGCAACGUUAAUCGACGCAGGGUUAGUCGGUUCCUAAGGCGAGGCUGAAAAGCGUAGUCGAUGGGAAACAGGUUAAUAUUCCUGUACUUCUGGUUACUGCGAUGGAGGGACGGAGAAGGCUAGGCCAGCUUGGCGUUGGUUGUCCAAGUUUAAGGUGGUAGGCUGAAAUCUUAGGUAAAUCCGGGGUUUCAAGGCCGAGAGCUGAUGACGAGUCGUCUUUUAGAUGACGAAGUGGUUGAUGCCAUGCUUCCAAGAAAAGCUUCUAAGCUUCAGGUAACCAGGAACCGUACCCCAAACCGACACAGGUGGUCGGGUAGAGAAUACCAAGGCGCUUGAGAGAACUCGGGUGAAGGAACUAGGCAAAAUGGCACCGUAACUUCGGGAGAAGGUGCGCCGGCUAGGGUGAAGGAUUUACUCCGUAAGCUCUGGCUGGUCGAAGAUACCAGGCCGCUGCGACUGUUUAUUAAAAACACAGCACUCUGCAAACACGAAAGUGGACGUAUAGGGUGUGACGCCUGCCCGGUGCCGGAAGGUUAAUUGAUGGGGUUAGCGCAAGCGAAGCUCUUGAUCGAAGCCCCGGUAAACGGCGGCCGUAACUAUAACGGUCCUAAGGUAGCGAAAUUCCUUGUCGGGUAAGUUCCGACCUGCACGAAUGGCGUAACGAUGGCGGCGCUGUCUCCACCCGAGACUCAGUGAAAUUGAAAUCGCUGUGAAGAUGCAGUGUAUCCGCGGCUAGACGGAAAGACCCCGUGAACCUUUACUGUAGCUUUGCACUGGACUUUGAGCCUGCUUGUGUAGGAUAGGUGGGAGGCUUUGAAGCGUGGACGCCAGUUCGCGUGGAGCCAUCCUUGAAAUACCACCCUGGCAUGCUUGAGGUUCUAACUCUGGUCCGUGAUCCGGAUCGAGGACAGUGUAUGGUGGGCAGUUUGACUGGGGCGGUCUCCUCCUAAAGAGUAACGGAGGAGUACGAAGGUGCGCUCAGACCGGUCGGAAAUCGGUCGCAGAGUAUAAAGGCAAAAGCGCGCUUGACUGCGAGACAGACACGUCGAGCAGGUACGAAAGUAGGUCUUAGUGAUCCGGUGGUUCUGUAUGGAAGGGCCAUCGCUCAACGGAUAAAAGGUACUCCGGGGAUAACAGGCUGAUACCGCCCAAGAGUUCAUAUCGACGGCGGUGUUUGGCACCUCGAUGUCGGCUCAUCACAUCCUGGGGCUGAAGCCGGUCCCAAGGGUAUGGCUGUUCGCCAUUUAAAGUGGUACGCGAGCUGGGUUUAGAACGUCGUGAGACAGUUCGGUCCCUAUCUGCCGUGGACGUUUGAGAUUUGAGAGGGGCUGCUCCUAGUACGAGAGGACCGGAGUGGACGAACCUCUGGUGUUCCGGUUGUCACGCCAGUGGCAUUGCCGGGUAGCUAUGUUCGGAAAAGAUAACCGCUGAAAGCAUCUAAGCGGGAAACUUGCCUCAAGAUGAGAUCUCACUGGGAACUUGAUUCCCCUGAAGGGCCGUCGAAGACUACGACGUUGAUAGGCUGGGUGUGUAAGCGUUGU
This 1695-nucleotide ribosomal RNA is filed under the name Pseudomonas aeruginosa JD331. RNAcentral describes it as "bacterial LSU rRNA". It matches the Rfam family "Bacterial large subunit ribosomal RNA", at positions 1202 to 2879 of the family's 2925-position model. Lineage: Bacteria; Pseudomonadati; Pseudomonadota; Gammaproteobacteria; Pseudomonadales; Pseudomonadaceae. The record is from RNAcentral.